Molecule: ribosomal RNA, 440 nt
Filed under: uncultured bacterium
Lineage: Bacteria
Description: partial 16S ribosomal RNA
Rfam family: Bacterial small subunit ribosomal RNA
Source: RNAcentral
CCUACGGGCGGCAGCAGUGGGGAAUAUUGCACAAUGGGGGAAACCCUGAUGCAGCGACGCCGCGUGAGUGAAGAAGUAUUUCGGUACGUAAAGCUCUAUCAGCAGGGAAGAAAAUGACGGUACCUGACUAAGAAGCCCCGGCUAACUACGUGCCAGCAGCCGCGGUAAUACGUAGGGGGCAAGCGUUAUCCGGAUUUACUGGGUGUAAAGGGAGCGUAGGCGGCAGCGCAAGUCUGGAGUGAAAUCCCAUGGCUUAACCAUGGAACUGCUUUGGAAACUGUGCAGCUAGAGUGCAGGAGAGGUAAGCGGAAUUCCUGGUGUAGCGGUGAAAUGCGUAGAUAUUGGGAGGAACACCAGUGGCGAAGGCAGCUUACUGGACUGUAACUGACGUUGAGGCUCGAAAGCGUGGGGAGCAAACAGGAUUAGAUACCCUUGUAGUC